GGGGCAGUAGCUUAGACGGCAAAGCAUCUGGCUGAAGACCAGAGGAGAUGGAUUCGAGCACCAUCUGCCCCA
This 72-nucleotide transfer RNA is filed under the name Planctomycetota bacterium. RNAcentral's name for it is "Planctomycetes bacterium tRNA-Phe". It matches the Rfam family "tRNA". From Rfam's summary of the family: Transfer RNA (tRNA) molecules are approximately 80 nucleotides in length. Lineage: Bacteria; Pseudomonadati; Planctomycetota. RNAcentral also lists the same sequence under 1 other name. The record is from RNAcentral.